RNAcentral lists this ribosomal RNA (950 nucleotides) under uncultured bacterium. RNAcentral's name for it is "bacterial SSU rRNA". It matches the Rfam family "Bacterial small subunit ribosomal RNA", at positions 8 to 1004 of the family's 1533-position model. The record is from RNAcentral.
AGAGUUUGAUCCUGGCUCAGAGCGAACGCUGGCGGCAGGCCUAACACAUGCAAGUCGAACGAACUCUUCGGAGUUAGUGGCGGACGGGUGAGUAACACGUGGGAACGUGCCUUUAGGUUUGGAAUAACUCAGGGAAACUUGUGCUAAUACCGAAUGUGCCCUUCGGGGGAAAGAUUUAUCGCCUUUAGAGCGGCCCGCGUCUGAUUAGCUAGUUGGUGAGGUAAAGGCUCACCAAGGCGACGAUCAGUAGCUGGUCUGAGAGGAUGAUCAGCCACAUUGGGACUGAGACACGGCCCAAACUCCUACGGGAGGCAGCAGUGGGGAAUCUUGCGCAAUGGGCGAAAGCCUGACGCAGCCAUGCCGCGUGAAUGAUGAAGGUCUUAGGAUUGUAAAAUUCUUUCACCGGGGACGAUAAUGACGGUACCCGGAGAAGAAGCCCCGGCUAACUUCGUGCCAGCAGCCGCGGUAAUACGAAGGGGGCUAGCGUUGCUCGGAAUUACUGGGCGUAAAGGGAGCGUAGGCGGACAUUUAAGUCAGGGGUGAAAUCCCGGGGCUCAACCUCGGAAUUGCCUUUGAUACUGGGUGUCUUGAGUAUGAGAGAGGUAUGUGGAACUCCGAGUGUAGAGGUGAAAUUCGUAGAUAUUCGGAAGAACACCAGUGGCGAAGGCGACAUACUGGCUCAUUACUGACGCUGAGGCUCGAAAGCGUGGGGAGCAAACAGGAUUAGAUACCCUGGUAGUCCACGCUGUAAACGAUGUCGAUUUGGAGGUUGUGCCCUUGAGGCGUGGCUUCCGGAGCUAACGCGUUAAAUCGACCGCCUGGGGAGUACGGCCGCAAGGUUAAAACUCAAAUGAAUUGACGGGGGCCCGCACAAGCGGUGGAGCAUGUGGUUUAAUUCGAUGCAACGCGAAGAACCUUACCUACUCUUGACAUCCAGAGAACUUUCCAGA